This 63-nucleotide non-coding RNA is filed under the name human gut metagenome. RNAcentral's name for it is "Fluoride riboswitch". It matches the Rfam family "Fluoride riboswitch aptamer (crcB RNA motif)", at positions 7 to 57 of the family's 64-position model. The record is from RNAcentral.
CGACUGGGAAUGAAGUUCUCCCGUGGGAAACCAAAACCGCUGAAAUAAGGCUGAUGACUUCUG